AUGAAAAGAUUUUUAAGGAAAAUUCGAAAGGUGUUUGCUAAAUGUGCAAACAAAGCGCCAUCAAAAGAACCACAGACUGGUGGUUCAAAGGAUUUACCCAUGGAAGCUGUGGAUCAAAGCUCUCACAGCGAUACCAGCUCUCUCGGGAUGACUUCAUGGGAUUUAGAAAGUGAAGAAAGUUCAACCUCAGACAGUUUCAAAUUGAAUUUGAGGGCACAACAGUCUGAGAGUGAAGCAUCAGAAUGUUCAGAUUAUAUUUCAAAAAUCAUGAGGGAAGCAAAAUGCUCCACCAAACCCCCCGGAUAUAAAAUUAAAAGAGAGCAGAUUUUUGCAAUGAUGGAAAACAUUUUGGAAAGAAAUAUGUCACCUAAAGCCCACAGGUCUUUUGACGAGAUAUUUAAAUACAGAUUUAGGAGAAGUAAAGAGUAUCAAGUUCUUAUCCAAAUUUGGAACAUGUAUAAUUCCAUAUUUAUUUUAGAUGUGAUCUAUCACAUUGAUAGAAUCAAAACUAUGAUUGAGAAUGAAUUCAUGCCCGAAUGGACCUCUCUUCUGCAACACAUUUCAUUGACAAGCUUGAAAAAGAGGCUAAAACAAUUCAAAUGGACCCAAGAGAACAAGGAUUGGAUAAAAGACAUGAUUCAAAACAGACAUGCCAAUAUUAUAAAAAAACUUCCACGGUUUGAUAAAUAUCAGUUCAAGGAUUUAUAUUCUGAAUGCUUGUCCAGAUACACUAAUGCAAUAAAUGAAGAUAUGACUAAAUAUGUAUUAGGAGAUGAAUCUGAGCCCUCAGAUGAAAUUCAUUCAGGAUCUUCUGGAGAGUUUCAGUGUGAAACUAUUUCACAGACUGAAGAGUUCCUUGGGGAAACAGUGGAAUCCAUCAUGAAUGAUGUCAUUUUAGAAAUAUUUUACUGUCGAAUGAAUAACAUUACCUCUGCCAUCACUGAUGCCAUAAAUGAGGUUAUCUGUAGCGACAGUACCGUGUCACAUGAGGCAAACUCAGAUCCUGUUAUAGAAGAAGCUAAAAAGCAAAGAGCAAAAUUUUAUGAAAAAACCGUGGACAAAGUGUUGGUCAAAGCUUUAAGGAAAAUCAAAAAAAGAGCCUUACAACCUGUAACUGUAAGAAAAAUUAUCACGUGCAUAGAUAACUUUCACUCUUCGGUUUCUAUUAAUCUUACUGUCUGGUCAGUAUUGCUUCGUGACAAGUUAUACACUUUUCCAAGACAAGAGGCUUCAAGAAAAGUAUAUAAGGACGCUCUAUUCAAAAUUAUCCACUACCACCCAGGAAUGAGCCAUAAAAGAAUCCUUAAACGGAUCAAACGCUACCUCUACCCAGAAAUAGAAUCAAAAAAGAGAGAGGAGAGAGAAAGGAAAAGAGUUAUUCAAAAUAAAUCUUGUCUUAAAUUUAAAAAGUCAUCAGAAAAAUUAAAGAAAAUCGGAACAAAUUUAAAACUGAUAGAGUCUGUUAAAAAAGUAAUAACACUGGUGGUUCAGAAACUACUGAAGGACUCAGACUGUGUGGAGAAGAUUUGCAAAAGAAUUCUGGAAGUAAACACAGAUGAGAACAUCCUGAAGGAUUUGAACACACACUAUGAAAGUGUUUUCAAGGAAUUGUGUGAAAACUGGGCAAGGUCAGAGAGUAUGCCUUCAUUGGGAGAUAUAGGAAGUGAUCAGCUUAAUAAUAGGAUUGCUGCACAUUUCAUUAAGUACAUAAAAGAGUUGCAAAAGAAGCCUCGUUCCAUCAAAACUGAAAAUACAGAACACCACCUCCCGACAAAACCUAAAAGAAAAUGGUGGAGAGUGGUGAAAAAUUUCUUCAAAAGAAAAUUUGGUUCUAAAACUGAAUUUUCAGCAGAAAACAGAGACGAAUCUGGUCAGACCAGCCCAGAGGAGAAAGUUAGAGAGUGUGUUCAGAAUGUCAUAUUGAUGUUAUUUCAGAAACUUCUAAAGGACUCUGACAGUGUGAAGAGUAUCUGUAAAAAAAUUCAACAUACAAGUGCAGAUAAACUAGGGCUGACAAAUUUGGAC
Molecule: long non-coding RNA, 2025 nt
Filed under: Oryzias javanicus (javanese ricefish)
Lineage: Eukaryota; Metazoa; Chordata; Actinopteri; Beloniformes; Adrianichthyidae
Description: lncRNA (ENSOJAG00000002541.1)
Source: RNAcentral